RNAcentral lists this ribosomal RNA (221 nucleotides) under Pseudomonas sp. 3.00.45. Its description in RNAcentral is "partial 16S ribosomal RNA". It matches the Rfam family "Bacterial small subunit ribosomal RNA", at positions 50 to 271 of the family's 1533-position model. The record is from RNAcentral. Lineage: Bacteria; Pseudomonadati; Pseudomonadota; Gammaproteobacteria; Pseudomonadales; Pseudomonadaceae.
AACACAUGCAAGUCGAGCGGCAGCACGGGUACUUGUACCUGGUGGCGAGCGGCGGACGGGUGAGUAAUGCCUAGGAAUCUGCCUGGUAGUGGGGGAUAACGUCCGGAAACGGGCGCUAAUACCGCAUACGUCCUACGGGAGAAAGUGGGGGAUCUUCGGACCUCACGCUAUCAGAUGAGCCUAGGUCGGAUUAGCUAGUUGGUGAGGUAAUGGCUCACCAA